RNAcentral lists this unclassified non-coding RNA (253 nucleotides) under uncultured Caryophanales bacterium. Its description in RNAcentral is "uncultured Bacillales bacterium contains 16S-23S intergenic spacer region". It matches the Rfam family "Bacterial small subunit ribosomal RNA", at positions 524 to 776 of the family's 1533-position model. The record is from RNAcentral. Lineage: Bacteria; Bacillati; Bacillota; Bacilli; Caryophanales.
UACGUAGGGGGCAAGCGUUGUCCGGAAUUAUUGGGCGUAAAGCGCGCGCAGGCGGCCUGUUAAGUCUGAUGUGAAAGCCCCCGGCUCAACCGGGGAGGGCCAUUGGAAACUGGGAGGCUGGAGUCUAGGAGAGAAGAGUGGAAUUCCACGUGUAGCGGUGAAAUGCGUAGAGAUGGGGAGGAACACCGGUGGCGAAGGCGGCUCUUUGGCCUAUAACUGACGCUGAGGCGCGAAAGCGCGGGGAGCAAACAGG